This 685-nucleotide ribosomal RNA is filed under the name uncultured bacterium. RNAcentral describes it as "bacterial SSU rRNA". It matches the Rfam family "Bacterial small subunit ribosomal RNA", at positions 42 to 720 of the family's 1533-position model. The record is from RNAcentral.
GCGCGGCUUACAAUGCAGUCGAGCGGUAACAGGGGGUGCUUGCACCCCGCUGACGAGCGGCGGACGGGUGAGUAAUGCAUAGGAAACUGCCCAGUAGUGGGGGAUAGCCCGGGGAAACCCGGAUUAAUACCGCGUACGCCCUUCGGGGGAAAGCAGGGGAUCUUCGGACCUUGCGCUAUUGGAUGUGCCUAUGUCGGAUUAGCUAGUUGGUGGGGUAAAGGCCUACCAAGGCGACGAUCCGUAGCUGGUCUGAGAGGAUGAUCAGCCACAUCGGGACUGAGACACGGCCCGAACUCCUACGGGAGGCAGCAGUGGGGAAUAUUGGACAAUGGGGGCAACCCUGAUCCAGCCAUGCCGCGUGUGUGAAGAAGGCUUUCGGGUUGUAAAGCACUUUCAGUGAGGAGGAAAACUCUGCGACUAAUACUCGUAGGGCUUGACGUUACUCACAGAAGAAGCACCGGCUAACUCCGUGCCAGCAGCCGCGGUAAUACGGAGGGUGCAAGCGUUAAUCGGAAUUACUGGGCGUAAAGCGCGCGUAGGUGGUUUGGUAAGCGAGAUGUGAAAGCCCCGGGCUUAACCUGGGAACGGCAUUUCGAACUGUCAGGCUAGAGUAUGGUAGAGGGUAGUGGAAUUUCCUGUGUAGCGGUGAAAUGCGUAGAUAUAGGAAGGAACACCAGUGGCGAAG